This 1346-nucleotide ribosomal RNA is filed under the name uncultured bacterium. RNAcentral's name for it is "partial 16S ribosomal RNA". It matches the Rfam family "Bacterial small subunit ribosomal RNA", at positions 28 to 1381 of the family's 1533-position model. The record is from RNAcentral.
GACGAACGCUGGCGGCGUGCUUAACACAUGCAAGUCGAACGGAAAGGCCCUGCUUUUGUGGGGUGCUCGAGUGGCGAACGGGUGAGUAACACGUGAGUAACCUGCCCUUGACUUUGGGAUAACUUCAGGAAACUGGGGCUAAUACCGGAUAGGAGCUCCUGCUGCAUGGUGGGGGUUGGAAAGUUUCGGCGGUUGGGGAUGGACUCGCGGCUUAUCAGCUUGUUGGUGGGGUAGUGGCUUACCAAGGCUUUGACGGGUAGCCGGCCUGAGAGGGUGACCGGCCACAUUGGGACUGAGAUACGGCCCAGACUCCUACGGGAGGCAGCAGUGGGGAAUAUUGCACAAUGGGCGGAAGCCUGAUGCAGCAACGCCGCGUGCGGGAUGACGGCCUUCGGGUUGUAAACCGCUUUCGCCUGUGACAAAGCGUGAGUGACGGUAAUGGGUAAAGAAGCACCGGCUAACUACGUGCCAGCAGCCGCGGUGAUACCUAGGGUGCGAGCGUUGUCCGGAUUUAUUGGGCGUAAAGGGCUCGUAGGUGGUUGAUCGCGUCGGAAGUGUAAUCUUGGGGCUUAACCCUGAGCGUGCUUUCGAUACGGGUUGACUUGAGGAAGGUAGGGGAGAAUGGAAUUCCUGGUGGAGCGGUGGAAUGCGCAGAUAUCAGGAGGAACACCAGUGGCGAAGGCGGUUCUCUGGGCCUUUCCUGACGCUGAGGAGCGAAAGCGUGGGGAGCGAACAGGCUUAGAUACCCUGGUAGUCCACGCUGUAAACGGUGGGUACUAGGUGUGGGGUCCAUUCCACGGGUUCCGUGCCGUAGCUAACGCUUUAAGUACCCCGCCUGGGGAGUACGGCCGCAAGGCUAAAACUCAAAGGAAUUGACGGGGCCCCGCACAAGCGGCGGAGCAUGCGGAUUAAUUCGAUGCAACGCGUAGAACCUUACCUGGGUUUGACAUGGAUCGGGAGUGCUCAGAGAUGGGUGUGCCUCUUUUGGGGUCGGUUCACAGGUGGUGCAUGGCUGUCGUCAGCUCGUGUCGUGAGAUGUUGGGUUAAGUCCCGCAACGAGCGCAACCCUUGUUCACUGUUGCCAGCACGUUAUGGUGGGGACUCAGUGGAGACCGCCGGGGUCAACUCGGAGGAAGGUGGGGAUGACGUCAAGUCAUCAUGCCCCUUAUGUCCAGGGCUUCACGCAUGCUACAAUGGCUGGUACAGAGAGUGGCGAGCCUGUGAGGGUGAGCGAAUCUCGGAAAGCCUGUCUCAGUUCGGAUUGGGGUCUGCAACUCGACCUCAUGAAGUCGGAGUCGCUAGUAAUCGCAGAUCAGCAACGCUGCGGUGAAUACUUUCCGGGGGCU